CCUACGGGGGGCAGCAGUGGGGAAUAUUGGGCAAUGGCCGCAAGGCUGACCCAGCGACGCCGCGUGCGGGAGGAAGCCCUUCGGGGUGUAAACCGCUGUCAGGAGGGACGAACCGUUCCGUGGUGAACAGCCAUGGGGCCUGACGGUACCUCCAGAGGAAGCGCCGGCUAACUCCGUGCCAGCAGCCGCGGUAAGACGGAGGGCGCGAGCGUUGUUCGGAAUUACUGGGCGUAAAGCGCGCGCAGGCGGGUUCGUGAGUCGGGGGUGAAAGGCCGGGGCUCAACCCCGGAAGGUCUCCCGAUACUGCGGACCUGGGGACCGGUAGGGGCAGGUAGAAUUCCCGGUGUAGCGGUGGAAUGCGUAGAGAUCGGGAAGAACACCGGUGGCGAAGGCGGCCUGCUGGGCCGGGUCCGACGCUGAGGCGCGAAAGCGUGGGGAGC
This 440-nucleotide ribosomal RNA is filed under the name uncultured bacterium. Its description in RNAcentral is "bacterial SSU rRNA". It matches the Rfam family "Bacterial small subunit ribosomal RNA", at positions 338 to 769 of the family's 1533-position model. The record is from RNAcentral.